Molecule: ribosomal RNA, 345 nt
Filed under: uncultured bacterium
Lineage: Bacteria
Description: bacterial SSU rRNA
Rfam family: Bacterial small subunit ribosomal RNA
Source: RNAcentral
GGGCUCACACAAGCGGUGGAGGAUGUGGCUUAAUUCGAUGCAACGCGAAGAACCUUACCAGGGUUUGACAUCCUGCGAAUCUCUUGGAAACAGGAGAGUGCCUUCGGGAACGCAGUGACAGGUGGUGCAUGGCUGUCGUCAGCUCGUGUCGUGAGAUGUUGGUUAAGUCCCGCAACGAGCGCAACCCACGUCUUUAGUUGCCAGCAUUUAGUUGGGCACUCUAGAGAGACUGCCGGUGAUAAACCGGAGGAAGGUGUGGAUGACGUCAAGUCAUCAUGCCCCUUACAUCCUGGGCUACACACGUACUACAAUGCUACGGACAAAGGGCAGCAAGUUCGCGAGGAC